UUUCAUGGUUGGCUCUAGGUCACCAUUCUUUUUUACUCCCAGAAUCACAUCUGUACUUGCAGCUUCAUUUACCAUCUGGACACAAAGACUUGCAGAUUUAUGUCAUCAUCCAAUAUCUUAUCCCCUUGAAACCCAGAAGACAGCAUUUCUAAGGUGGGUAGUGAUCUUUUCCUCCCUUCACCCUUGACCUGGUCCUGCUGCCUUACUGAAGGUGCCACCUCCUUAAACCUGCACCAUCUGGACCCUGGAGAGCUUCCUCUCCCCUUCCUUCUCCACCUUCCAAUCAAGCUCUUGGCCUCUUGCUUUCUGUGUUGCAGUCACACUAGCCAUACUGGUGAGUCUACGCCUUCCCACUUCCUUCCACCUAGAGCCAUCACAGUACUUCCCCUCUCCUUGCAGGAUGUGUUCUUGCUGUUUGCAUCACUCCCUGCCUUGCUUUGCCACACUCCUCAUAGCUGUCACAAAAUAUUUUGCACAAAGUUAUAUGGUGUCUAGCACCCCUGUUAGAAUGUUGACUCAAUGAGAGAGGUGUCCAUGUUGUCCUGGUAAAUGUUUUAACAACUGGAUCUCCUGCUGGGAAAAAUGAUUUGUUGGCAUUUGCUGAUUUCCAUGGUGUAAAUUCUUCCACUGUAUUUUAUUUUAAGCUACCAUUACAUCACCACUGGACGCAAAUUUGGGAAGAGGUUACAGUUGCCUCUUAUAAGCUUAAAAGAAGAUUCUAGCAUAGUACUCAGAUAUGGCCAUCCUCUUCACUGCUGUGCGUGUCUUCAUGCCUUGGGGCUGUGCUAGGCACCUUGGUGAUAGUGACUCUUAAUUGGAGGGUUAAAUGCAGUGUCUUUAUGUCAUCAUAGAAAUGUAGUGGUAAAAAUGCUAAUAUUUAAGACAAACCAGCAUAAAAUCUUUCAUUUUAGAAUUGGACUUGGCCUUAAUUAAACUAUCAGCUAUCCCAUCAUUUUUGUCUCUUGUAAUUGAGGGUCAGGGAAUGGAAUCUGGCACAAUCAUAUAACUAGCUAGUAAAGUUACCCAAGUUAAAGUGCACAUCUCUUAAUUACCUGUGCGCAUUCCUUCCAAAAGAAGUAAAAUUUUAUCAUUCAGGUCAUGUUAUUAUAUAGUGGCAGAGUUGAACAUAUCAUAAAUAAACCUACUUUACAAGAGAAAAGGCACUGUUUGAUUUUCUUAUUAAAUUUUAGGUUGUCUGUUCAGAGAGAUUUCCCCUUUAUCAUUCCCCCCUUAAUUAUUUCUUGUAGUUAUAUGCAGAUUAAAUAUAUUAGUUAGCUUUUGCUGUGCAGUAAACCACUCCAAAAUAUAUUGGCCUUUCUUUCAGCCACUGCUGUGUGGGCUGACAGUGUGGUGUAGACCCCUUUUCUGGUUUACCCAGGCUUCCCUG
Molecule: long non-coding RNA, 1387 nt
Filed under: Capra hircus (goat)
Lineage: Eukaryota; Metazoa; Chordata; Mammalia; Artiodactyla; Bovidae
Description: lncRNA (ENSCHIG00010008286.1)
Source: RNAcentral